AGUGAACGCUGGCGGUAGGCCUAACACAUGCAAGUCGAACGGCAGCACAGUAAGAGCUUGCUCUUACGGGUGGCGAGUGGCGGACGGGUGAGGAAUACAUCGGAAUCUACUUUUUCGUGGGGGAUAACGUAGGGAAACUUACGCUAAUACCGCAUACGACCUACGGGUGAAAGCAGGGGAUCUUCGGACCUUGCGCGAUUGAAUGAGCCGAUGUCGGAUUAGCUAGUUGGCGGGGUAAAGGCCCACCAAGGCGACGAUCCGUAGCUGGUCUGAGAGGACGACCAGACAUACUGGGACGGUGACACGGUCCAGCCGGAGGGGGGAGGGCGCAGUGGGGAAUAGCGGACGUGGGGGCGAAGUAGGAACCCGCCAUUCCGCGUGGGUGGAGAGGGCGGGCGGGUACUACAGCCUUUUUGUGGGGAAAGAAAAGCAGCACGUCAAUGCUCCGGUGGUCCUACGGUACCAAAAGACGAAGCACCGGCUAACUUCGUGCCAGCAGCCGCGGUAAUAAUGGGAAGAGCACACGUUUGAAC
This 533-nucleotide ribosomal RNA is filed under the name uncultured bacterium. RNAcentral describes it as "partial 16S ribosomal RNA". It matches the Rfam family "Bacterial small subunit ribosomal RNA", at positions 31 to 542 of the family's 1533-position model. The record is from RNAcentral.